AGUCAGGUUUCAGGAUUUAUAAGUAAACGCCUUCUGUGAUGUGACGAAAGUACCGGGUUAUUUACAUUUUAAUUAUCUCUGCCCCUGUUGUUGUUCCUACCAUUUCAGAUGCCUAGAAUGGCAGACGAUGAGUUAUGUGAGAGCUUGCUCAUAUGGGUUCAAACGUUCAAUCUAGACUCACCCCAUGAGACGAUACAAGAUUUGACAGAUGGAGUCGCAUUAGGGGAAAUCCUGUGCCAAAUUGGGUCAUCUUUCUUCACGCCAUCCUGGUUCGGUAGAUUGAAGAAAGAUGCCGGGGAGAGUUGGAGAAUACGAGUCAGUAAUCUUAAGAAGGUCCAAGAAGGAAUCCUGGACUUUUACAAUGAGGUAAGUUGCAUACUGUAGUUGCUGGAAAUGAG
Lytechinus pictus (painted urchin) is the source of this 398-nucleotide long non-coding RNA. RefSeq lists it as uncharacterized. Lineage: Eukaryota; Metazoa; Echinodermata; Echinoidea; Temnopleuroida; Toxopneustidae. The record is from RefSeq and is a predicted model, not a curated record. The transcript is spliced from 3 exons.